This 647-nucleotide ribosomal RNA is filed under the name uncultured Proteinivoraceae bacterium. RNAcentral's name for it is "bacterial SSU rRNA". It matches the Rfam family "Bacterial small subunit ribosomal RNA", at positions 79 to 744 of the family's 1533-position model. The record is from RNAcentral. Lineage: Bacteria; Bacillati; Bacillota; Clostridia; Eubacteriales; Proteinivoracaceae.
AGUUGAGUGCCGGAUAGUGGCGGACGGGUGAGUAACACGUGGGCAACCUGCCCUACAGCCUGGGAUACCAUCGGGAAACUGAUGUUAAUACCGGAUACGCUCUUUUGAUCGCAUGAUCUAAGGAGGAAAGAUUUAUCGCUGUAGGAUGGGCCCGCGGUCCAUUAGCUAGUUGGUAGGGUAACGGCCUACCAAGGCGACGAUGGAUAGCUGGUCUGAGAGGACGAUCAGCCACACUGGGACUGAGACACGGCCCAGACUYCUACGGGAGGCAGCAGUGGGGAAUAUUGCGCAAUGGGGGCAACCCUGACGCAGCAAUGCCGCGCGAAGGAUGAAGGCUUUCGGGUCGUAAACUUCUGUCUAGAGGGAUGAAUAAUGACAGUACCUCUGGAGGAAGCCCCGGCUAACUACGUGCCAGCAGCCGCGGUAAUACGUAGGGGGCAAGCGUUGUCCGGAAUCACUGGGCGUAAAGCGCGCGUAGGUGGUCUAGUAAGUCAGAUGUUAAAAUGCGGGGCUCAACCCCGUAAUGCAUUUGAAACUGCUGGACUUGAGGACAGGAGAGGAAAGUGGAAUUCCUAGUGUAGCGGUGAAAUGCGUAGAUAUUAGGAGGAACACUAGUGGCGAAGGCGACUUUCUGGACUGUACCUGAC